Gorilla gorilla gorilla (western lowland gorilla) is the source of this 4066-nucleotide long non-coding RNA. RefSeq lists it as uncharacterized. The transcript has 14 exons. NCBI's taxonomy places the organism in Eukaryota, Metazoa, Chordata, Mammalia, Primates, Hominidae. The record is from RefSeq and is a predicted model, not a curated record.
UCAGGGCCUGGGCCCAGGGUUAGGUUUUUACGGUCAGGGCCCAGGGUUAGGGUUUUAGGGUCAGGGCCCAGGGUUAGGGUUUUAGGGUCAGGACCCAGUGUUAGGGUUUUAGGGUCAUGGCCCAGGGUUAGGGUUUUAGGGUCAGGGCCCAGGGUUAGGGUGAUUUCCAGGAAGUGACCUCACAGUGACUCAAGCUACCACUUACUGUUGAUUGUGAUGAAAUGCCAGCUGAGGCACAUGCCUUGGGAGCUAAGUGGUUGCUGCCCUUGACUACUAUGAAGACUGGUGUGGGAAGGGUCGCUUUGGAUGCACUUGAGCAGGGGUCCCCAAUCCCUGAGCCAUGGAGCCGUAAGGAGCCACACAGCAGGUGAGUGGUGUCGAGUGAGGGAGUGAGGGAAGCUUCGUCUGUAUUUACAGCCACUCCCCUUUGCUCACAUUCCCGCCUGAGCUCCACCUUCUCAGAUGAGCAGCAGCAUUAGAUUCUCAUAGGAGAACGCACCCUGUUGUGAACCGUGCAUGUGAGGGAUCUAGGUUGCGCUGUGCUUAUGAGAAUCUAAUACCUAUUGAUCUGUCACUUUCUCCCAUCACGCUCAGGUGGGACCAUCCAGUUUCAGGAAAACAAGCUUAACACGCCCACUGAUUCUACAUUAUGCUCCUACCUCCCGGCAGCCUCGCCAGGCCCAGAACUCUCUCCAGUCAGCCUCUACAGACCAAGCUCAUGACUCACAAUGGCCUAUUUAGGCCCAUACCCUACCUCACGGCAGUCUCCGCAGAUGAGCCUACUGCCUCACAACAGCCUCCACAGGCACAGCUCCAUCGUUACAAUGGCCUCUUUAGACCCAGCUCCUGCCUCCCAGCCUUCUCUCCAGGCCCUGAACUUUCUCCGUGGGACCAUCCAGUUUCAGGAAAACAAGCUUAACACGCCCACUGAUUCUACAUUAUGCUCCUACCUCCCGGCAGCCUCGCCAGGCCCAGAACUCUCUCCAGUCAGCCUCUACAGACCAAGCUCAUGACUCACAAUGGCCUAUUUAGGCCCAUACCCUACCUCACGGCAGUCUCCGCAGAUGAGCCUACUGCCUCACAACAGCCUCCACAGGCACAGCUCCAUCGUUACAAUGGCCUCUUUAGACCCAGCUCCUGCCGCCCAGCCUUCUCUCCAGGCCCUGAACUUUCUCCGUGGGACCAUCCAGUUUCAGGAAAACAAGCUUAACACGCCCACUGAUUCUACAUUAUGCUCCUACCUCCCGGCAGCCUCGCCAGGCCCAGAACUCUCUCCAGUCAGCCUCUACAGACCAAGCUCAUGACUCACAAUGGCCUAUUUAGGCCCAUACCCUACCUCACGGCAGUCUCCGCAGAUGAGCCUACUGCCUCACAACAGCCUCCACAGGCACAGCUCCAUCGUUACAAUGGCCUCUUUAGACCCAGCUCCUGCCUCCCAGCCUUCUCUCCAGGCCCUGAACUUUCUCCGUGGGACCAUCCAGUUUCAGGAAAACAAGCUUAACACGCCCACUGAUUCUACAUUAUGCUCCUACCUCCCGGCAGCCUCGCCAGGCCCAGAACUCUCUCCAGUCAGCCUCUACAGACCAAGCUCAUGACUCACAAUGGCCUAUUUAGGCCCAUACCCUACCUCACGGCAGUCUCCGCAGAUGAGCCUACUGCCUCACAACAGCCUCCACAGGCACAGCUCCAUCGUUACAAUGGCCUCUUUAGACCCAGCUCCUGCCGCCCAGCCUUCUCUCCAGGCCCUGAACUUUCUCCGUGGGACCAUCCAGUUUCAGGAAAACAAGCUUAACACGCCCACUGAUUCUACAUUAUGCUCCUACCUCCCGGCAGCCUCGCCAGGCCCAGAACUCUCUCCAGUCAGCCUCUACAGACCAAGCUCAUGACUCACAAUGGCCUAUUUAGGCCCAUACCCUACCUCACGGCAGUCUCCGCAGAUGAGCCUACUGCCUCACAACAGCCUCCACAGGCACAGCUCCAUCGUUACAAUGGCCUCUUUAGACCCAGCUCCUGCCUCCCAGCCUUCUCUCCAGGCCCUGAACUUUCUCCGUGGGACCAUCCAGUUUCAGGAAAACAAGCUUAACACGCCCACUGAUUCUACAUUAUGCUCCUACCUCCCGGCAGCCUCGCCAGGCCCAGAACUCUCUCCAGUCAGCCUCUACAGACCAAGCUCAUGACUCACAAUGGCCUAUUUAGGCCCAUACCCUACCUCACGGCAGUCUCCGCAGAUGAGCCUACUGCCUCACAACAGCCUCCACAGGCACAGCUCCGUCGUUACAAUGGCCUCUUUAGACCCAGCUCCUGCCUCCCAGCCUUCUCUCCAGGCCCUGAACUUCCUCCGUGGGACCAUCCAGUUUCAGGAAAACAAGCUUAACACGCCCACUGAUUCUACAUUAUGAUUCUUCAGGCCCAGCAUCUGCCUCACUGUGGACCCCCCAAGCCAAGCUCCCAACCUUUCAGCAGCUUCUACACACCCAGCUCCCGCCUGCCAGUGGCCUCUUCAGGCCCAUGGGGCUCAUUCCUCACAACAGCCUUUCCAGUCCCAGUUUUUCCCUUCCGGCGGCCUCUCCGGGCUGAGAACCUCCUCAAGUCGGCCUCUCCAGACUCACUUGCACCCUCCAGGCGUCCUCUCCGGGCCAAGCUCCUCUUCCUGGCUGAGUCUCCAGGCCUGACUCCUGCCUCUCAACAACCUCUUUGGACUCAGUGCCUACCCAUCUCCUGGCGUCCUUGGUCGGCCCACAGCUUCCUCAAGCCAAGCUCCCCAGGCCCAGGUCAGGCCUCACGGUGCCCCCUCCACGAUGAGCUCCUGCCCUCCAAUGGCACCUGCAGGACCCAAAUGGUCUCCGGUCGGUGGGCUCCUCCACGCCAAGUUUGGGCCUCCCGGUGACCUCUGCAGGCCCAAGUUGUCCUGAAGUCGGCAUCUCCCAGCCAUGCCUCCCAGCAAGUAAGCAAGCUCUUUUGGCUCAACUCCUGCCCAGCUCCCAACCGCCUUUGUAGGUCCCGAACUUUCUCCAGCCAAGUUCUUUGGGCCUCAUUCCUGCCGCCCGGUGGCCUGUACGGGCCCAGCAAUGGUUGGAGAACGGCCUCUGCAGGUCCCGCUCUUGCCUCCCAGGGGCCUCUCCAGGCCCAGCUCUUGCCCCCACGGCGGCCACCUGGGGCCAAGUCCCUGCCUGCCUCCCAGCAGCCCGCAUGCGGCCCAGCUCCUCCCUCACGGUGGCCUGUUGAUGCCCAUGCCUCUGGUACCCUGCCCAGAGGCAUGAGCCCCUGCCACACACUGGCUCCUCCCAUGCUGAGAGAGGUCAGCGUGAGCCCUUGCCUCACACCGGCCCCUCCCAUCCUGAGAGAGGUCAGCGUGAGCCCCUUGACUCACACUGGCUCCUCCCACGCUGAGAGAGGUCAGCGUGAGCCCUUGCCUCACACCGGCCCCUCCCAUGCUGAGAGAGGUCGGCGUGAGCCCUUGACUCACACCGGCCCCUCCCACGGUGAGAGAGGUCAGCGUCAGCCCCUUGCCUCACACCGGCCCCUCCCACGCUGAGAGAGGUCGGCGUGAGUCCUUGCCUCACACCGGCCCCUCCCACAGUGAGAGAGGUCAGCGUCAGCCCCUUGCCUCACACCGGCCCCUCCCACGCUGAGAGAGGUCAGCGUCAGCCCCUUGCCUCACACCGGCCCCUCCCACGGUGAGAGAGGUCAACAUGAGCCCCUUGCCUCACACCGGCCCCUCCCACGCUGAGAGAGGUCGGCGUCAGCCCCUUGCCUCACACCGGCCCCUCCCACGCUGAGAGAGGUUGGCGUGAGCCCCUUGCCUCACACCGGCCCCUCCCACGCUGAGAGAGGUCGGCGUCAGCCCCUUGCCUCACACCGGCCCCUCCCACGCUGAGAGAGGUUGGCGUGAGCCCCUUGCCUCACACCGGCCCCUCCCACGCUGAGAGAGGUCGGCGUCAGCCCCUUGCCUCACACCGGCCCCUCCCACGCUGAGAGAGGUUGGCGUGAGCCCCUUGCCUCACACCGGCCCCUCCCACGCUGAGAGAGGUCAACAUGAGCCCCUUGCCUCACACCGGCCCCUCCC